AAAUAGACGUGAGAUAAAAUUGUAGUAGAUUGAUAGAUCGAACGCCAAAUAAAAUAAAUCUCUACCUACUAAUAAACCAGCGAUUGCUUCUGGUCGUACGUCGUCUGCACUUUUGCAGAAAAGCCCCUUCGUUUUUGGGAAUUCAAUCCGCAGUCCUAUCUUAAGUGGGUACGUGAGAAAACGCUUCGUUUUUACAUAAACACCCCUGCAUUAGUUACAAUUCUACGUGCGGUCCUUAAUUAAACUGCUUCACCACCAGGGCACCACCACCGCUUAUCCAUUUGCCUUCUCCACCGCCUGGCACGGGCCACAGCUUGCCGCCUGCUUCCACGCCGUAGAAGCCAAGCAAGGGGUGAUGCAUCCUGGCGGAAAAAAAGGAAGGAGGAGGGAAGUGAGAAGGAGGAGGGGUCGCCCUGCUGGUUUGCCGGGGCUGGAGAAGCUCGUGGUUGGGAGCUCCUCUUAUCUGCUUCGGGUGCGAGGCGGCUGAAGCGCUCGGGCUGCAGAGCUGCGGGCGCUGGAUGGGACUUGGUGUAGGUCUCUGGCGAGAUGGGGAUGGCGUGGAGGGGGUCUGGACGCCGGCGGAUCCUUGGCCGGCGGCGCGCGGGCAUCGGGCGGCCAUGGCCGUCUCUCUGUAGAAAAAUAGAAGGCAGAGAGAGCUCUUAGAGAAGAAGCACGGGGGAGAGAAGAGAGAUGGAGGAAGAAGGGGAGGGCUCACCGACGGCGCAGAGGAGGACGCCCGAAUGAGGAAGCGGCAGGUCGUCGUCCUCCACAUCGCCCAGCGCGCGGCUUCUCCGGGCACGGAAUUGCCGCAACUGUUGCUGCUGGCCAGACACCCGUAGCCGCGCACUCACCUGCGGCGAACGGAGGCGGGAGAGGGAGAGUGCCCUGGCUGGCAGGGAGGGGAGGAAGAAGGGAGAGGAGUGGUGGUGGAGGAGAAAGGCAGUGAGAGGAUGUGGUUGGACGAGGCAUGUGGCCUACCGCAGUCAACGCGAGCCGCGAGCAGAGGAAGAAGCGAGAAUGAGCGACGCGGGAUCGGCCGAACCUCUAGGGCAUGGCGCAGGUGGCGAAGGCUAGGCGGUCUGAAUCAGGAGCACGGGGCCGACGACUGGGGCGCACGGCCAGAUCAGGACGAGGCAGAGGAGCUCCAAGGCGCCAGCCUUGGCGGCCUCUGGGUUCAUCGCCGAUUAGGGGGUGCUGCGCUGUCCAGCCACCACGGCCCCGCGCACGUGCGGCUCUUGGCUAGAUUGGAUGGAGAAGAAGAAGAGGACUAGCGCUGGAUUAGGAUGAGCGGAGGAAUUGGCGAUCUGGAUAAAAGAAGGAAAAAAAUAAGACCAACCCAAGGGCUAACCCUCGUUGGCAUUUUUUAUAGGGCAAACUCCGCGAGCAUCAC
Molecule: long non-coding RNA, 1390 nt
Filed under: Triticum aestivum (bread wheat)
Lineage: Eukaryota; Viridiplantae; Streptophyta; Magnoliopsida; Poales; Poaceae
Description: long non-coding RNA (TAES_LNC028605)
Source: RNAcentral